This is a small nuclear RNA of Dromiciops gliroides (monito del monte), 105 nucleotides long. The record is from RefSeq and is a predicted model, not a curated record. Lineage: Eukaryota; Metazoa; Chordata; Mammalia; Microbiotheria; Microbiotheriidae.
GUGCUUGCUUUGGCAGCAUAUGCUCUAAAAUUGGAAUGAUACAGAUAAGAUUAGCAUGUUCCCUACACAAAAAUAACACACACACACACACACACACACGUUCAU